RNAcentral lists this ribosomal RNA (417 nucleotides) under uncultured Gammaproteobacteria bacterium. RNAcentral describes it as "bacterial SSU rRNA". It matches the Rfam family "Bacterial small subunit ribosomal RNA", at positions 370 to 779 of the family's 1533-position model. Lineage: Bacteria; Pseudomonadati; Pseudomonadota; Gammaproteobacteria. The record is from RNAcentral.
AAUGGGCGCAAGCCUGAUGCAGCCAUGCCGCGUGUGUGAAGAAGGCCUUCGGGUUGUAAAGCACUUUCAGUCGUGAGGAAGGUAGUGUAGUUAAUAGCUGCAUUAUUUGACGUUAGCGACAGAAGAAGCACCGGCUAACUCCGUGCCAGCAGCCGCGGUAAUACGGAGGGUGCGAGCGUUAAUCGGAAUUACUGGGCGUAAAGCGCAUGCAGGUGGUUUGUUAAGUCAGAUGUGAAAGCCCGGGGCUCAACCUCGGAAUUGCAUUUGAAACUGGCAGACUAGAGUACUGUAGAGGGGGGUAGAAUUUCAGGUGUAGCGGUGAAAUGCGUAGAGAUCUGAAGGAAUACCGGUGGCGAAGGCGGCCCCCUGGACAGAUACUGACACUCAGAUGCGAAAGCGUGGGGAGCAAACAGGAUU